Molecule: long non-coding RNA, 1576 nt
Organism: Epinephelus moara (kelp grouper)
Lineage: Eukaryota; Metazoa; Chordata; Actinopteri; Perciformes; Serranidae
Exons: 4
Source: RefSeq, a predicted model, not a curated record
CAGAAGUCGUGGUCCGGGACAGAAGGCUGACCCUCUACGUCUGGACUCUGGACGAAGAAUGUCCCCCCCACUUGUGGGCACACUGUGCAUGAACGCAUAAUCAAUGUUGAAUCAUUUAUGAUACAGGAAGGUGCACAGAUCAACCAGGACCUGCUGGGGUCCCUUGUUAACACAGCCAAGCAAAGCACCCCAGAAGUCCCUCUCCCCAGCAACGCUUUCCAGCUCCUCCUGGGGGAUCCCAAGGUAUUCCCAGGCCAGAUGAGAUAUGUAAUCCCUCCUGCAUGUUCUGGGUCUGCCCCGGGCCUCCUACCAGAAGGAAGUGUCUGAAAUGUCCUUGCAGUGGUGGAGGGGUUUGCGUGUCCCUAUGAUCCUGGGAGCUGUUUUGUCUGGGGCUAAUAGCCCCUGGUAGGGCCUCCCAAGGCAAAGUGGUCCUAGUGGAGGGGCCAGACUAAGAACGGUUCAAAAAAGACCUUGAUGACACGGCACAUUUGGGGAACGAGUACCUUGCCUGGUAAGGGGACACCAGGGGGCCCCUUUCUGGUGGCCGGGCCUUGGGCCAUGGGCCUGGUCGGGCUCAGCCCAAAUGAGUAACAUGGGCCCACCACCUGCAGGUACUGGCACUGGGGUUGGAUGCAUUGUGUGCCGGGCGGCAGGCAGGGGCAGGGCCCCAGGCGUGUUGAUCCUCGGCAUCAUGGACAAUCGUAUUGUACUAUAGGUAAUUUUGAAGUUUUCAUAUGUAAAUUUGACUGAAAAUAAGACUGAAAGACGGUCAUUUUAAAGAUAGCCAUUUUAUAUUAAAAGAUGAAGGAGGGUAUUUAUUAAGUCUGUUGCUGAGCCCAGCUAUAGUUCAUCUGAUUUGUAUGAAGUGACUUAAAAGGGAUCUACAAAUACUUACAUAAAAAUGCUAACUAGAGGUCUUUACAUAGGGUGACCAUAUUUUGAUUUCCAAAAAAGAGGACACUCGGCUGGCCAUGAGAUAGCCUACUUAAAUGAUCCUCGCAGUUUACUCAAAGAUGCCUUAUAAUUUUAAUAUAUUUAAAAUUUAUAUGUAUGGAUAGAAUAUUCAGUUAUAUUACAAAAUAAUAUCUCUCAAAGACAGAAAUUCAGUUAGGCCCCAAUAGGGGACACAUACACACACUAGAGUGUGGCGAUCCGAGCUCGACGGGUUUGGUCAAAAAUGUAUAAAUUGUAUUCGGGCUCGGGUCGGAUUCGGUCAGCUUUAAGUGAAAAUGUAGUGUAAAAACAAAUAAAAUCCUAUUGUCUGUCCUGUUUAUUGCUUGGGCACUGUUAUUUACGUGACAACACCUGAACAUAACACACACACACAUUGGCUGUUUGUUUCUACCUCUCUCCUCGCUGGAAGUCUCGGACCUCCAGCCGCCCGCCUCCGCCUUGAUUAAACGCUGAAAAUAAAAUAAAAGAGGGAGACAGGUGUCUCCUAUUUUAUCUUAUUUUGUUUUAUUUCUCCCUCUCCUCUCGCUAGAAGCGUCGGACCUCCCGCCUCCCGCUCCCGCCUCCCGCUCCCGUCUCAAACACCGAGGUCUGCCUCUCCGCAGCUGAGCACCCACAGCGCACG